This is an RNA transcript of Triticum aestivum (bread wheat), 1266 nucleotides long. RefSeq lists it as uncharacterized. The record is from RefSeq and is a predicted model, not a curated record. The transcript is spliced from 2 exons. NCBI's taxonomy places the organism in Eukaryota, Viridiplantae, Streptophyta, Magnoliopsida, Poales, Poaceae.
AUGUCGAACUGGCAGUGCUCGACCGUCUCCGAGGCGAAGCUGCGAGCGCUCGUCGAUGCAGGGAUGCUCCCGUGCCUGACCGAGGCGCGGGAGUGGAUCAAGCCGAUGCUCGAGGACUCCCCACGACCUUCCCAGGGGUACGUGGUUUCCUUUGUCGCCUUUCAUGAGCACGGGUUCUCCGUGCCGGCGGGGAGAUUCAUCCGCGCCGUGCUCCACGAGUACAGCCUCGAGCUGCAGCACCUCAACCCGAAUGGCAUCCAGCACCUGGUGGCAUUUGAGGCGAUGUGCGAGGGAUACCUGGGCAUCGAGGCGCACUGGCAUCUCUUCCGUAACUUCUUCAUGCUUGUCUGCUUGAAGGACGAGCAGAGCCACAACCCGCCGACGAUCGGGUGCACUGGCAUCCGGCUCAAGCGGGGGAAACCCGAUGGCUAUCAACGGGCCCUUGACGAGCUCCAACAGCGGGUGGCGCUCAGAGUGGUUCUACCUCAAGAACGAUCCCGAGUGCCCUCUGCCGGUGUUCACCGGGGGUCUUCACGACACCACCCCGGCCGCGUGGUCCGAUGGGCCGGAGAAGAAGAAGCAGGCGAAGCUGCUCCAUGGCUGCCCCGCGGCAGUCACGGCCCUUCAGGCCCGAGGGGUGGACCUCGCCACCGUGAUUGGUGGUUACCUUGCGAGAGGGGUCGUGCCGCUACGGCGGCCCGCCCUUCGCCUGUUCGAGAUGACCGCGGACCGGGCUCCCUUCGGGGAGAAUUGAUUUUAACCCCCCAAGCUCGCGCGCCUUUGAUCUUAAGCCCCCUUGUUCGUUUGCCUUCCUCUGAAGCCCCCGACGCAGCCUAAUUUUGGCUCGCUUGCCCCUCUAGCGCUGUUAUCUCUGGAUUUAGCGCAUAAGGAAAGAAUCUGGACUUAACAAAUUUGUAAUUGCCAAAUCUGCCCUCGUCCAAUUUUCCUCAAACUCACGAGACAGAGGCCCGAGGCCUGGCCCGUUUCUCAUUCUAUCUCCCCUCCCCUUCCUGACUCAACCUAGCCGCUAGCCGCCAGAGCCGCUGCGCCCGCCGUCCGCUGCCCUGCUCCGCCGCGUUUCUCCCCAUCCGCCACCUUCCAUCGCUGGCCCAAGGUCUUGUGUGUGUGAUUGGCAUGGGAUUUGAGUGGGAGGGGCUGGAUUGACUAAGGGGUGUGAUGGAUCUGAAAAGGUAACAUCAUAUUCCCCUGUUCUAAUUGAUGUAUGCAUGAGUUUUGGUGUGUGAAUUUUCUGAUUUUUUCUGUCUA